AUUGGACGCUGGCGGCAGGCCUAACACAUGCAAGUCGAGCGGAUGAAGGGAGCUUGCUCCUGGAUUCAGCGGCGGACGAGUGAGUAAUGCCUAGGAAUCUGCCUGGUAGUGGGGGAUAACGUCCGGAAACGGGCGCUAAUACCGCAUACGUCCUGAGGGAGAAAGUGGGGGAUCUUCGGACCUCACGCUAUCAGAUGAGCCUAGGUCGGAUUAGCUAGUUGGUGGGGUAAAGGCCUACCAAGGCGACGAUCCGUAACUGGUCUGAGAGGAUGAUCAGUCACACUGGAACUGAGACACGGUCCAGACUCCUACGGGAGGCAGCAGUGGGGAAUAUUGGACAAUGGGCGAAAGCCUGAUCCAGCCAUGCCGCGUGUGUGAAGAAGGUCUUCGGAUUGUAAAGCACUUUAAGUUGGGAGGAAGGGCAGUAAGUUAAUACCUUGCUGUUUUGACGUUACCAACAGAAUAAGCACCGGCUAACUUCGUG
Molecule: ribosomal RNA, 484 nt
Filed under: uncultured bacterium
Lineage: Bacteria
Description: partial 16S ribosomal RNA
Rfam family: Bacterial small subunit ribosomal RNA
Source: RNAcentral